RNAcentral lists this transfer RNA (72 nucleotides) under Capra hircus (goat). It matches the Rfam family "tRNA". From Rfam's summary of the family: Transfer RNA (tRNA) molecules are approximately 80 nucleotides in length. Their secondary structure includes four short double-helical elements and three loops (D, anti-codon, and T loops). The record is from Rfam by way of RNAcentral. Lineage: Eukaryota; Metazoa; Chordata; Mammalia; Artiodactyla; Bovidae. RNAcentral also lists the same sequence under 1 other name.
UCCCUGGUGGCUCAGAGGUUAAAGCGUCUGCCUCCAGUGCGGGAGAUCCGGGUUUGAUCCCUGGGUCGGGAA